GCAAAGACUCCUGAACCUAGGACACAUAAGAGACAGCAAAGGAGUGAACAUACUGGAGACUCAACUACUGCCUUCUCCAAUUCCAUAUUCAUUGGGCAUUGGAGUGGGGAGCAGAAAGAGUAAUGCAGUUAGUGUGCAAGAGACACAGUGAAGGAGAACAAAGAAACCAUGAUAUCAGAUACAUUACAAACACAGUCAACUCUCGCUGCCGUUAGGAUAUUAAUUAUUAGUUCCUUACAAAGACAUUACGUAUGGUGUAUGCCAGGCUAUAUAUAGUUCCUUCUCCAACCACCUAGAAGAUUUCAGUCACGAAGGUCAUCUUUGUAAAUUCUCUUCACUAGUUGCCAAGUUCUCAUUACCCCAUGCCUCAUCAUUCACCCGUUUUCUGAAUUCAGCUCAGCACUUUGUGUCAAUAAAGCAGUGAAGGCGGCAGAAGAGAGCCUAGCAACUCCAUGGCACAAACCUUGUGCAGUCUCAAUACACCUUUUCAAAACAGCAUGACAGAA
Lepidothrix coronata (blue-crowned manakin) is the source of this 506-nucleotide long non-coding RNA. RefSeq lists it as uncharacterized. NCBI's taxonomy places the organism in Eukaryota, Metazoa, Chordata, Aves, Passeriformes, Pipridae. The record is from RefSeq and is a predicted model, not a curated record. The transcript is spliced from 3 exons.